AGAGCGAACGCUGGCGGCAGGCUUAACACAUGCAAGUCGAGCGGGCAUAGCAAUAUGUCAGCGGCAGACGGGUGAGUAACGCGUGGGAACGUACCUUUUGGUUCGGAACAACACAGGGAAACUUGUGCUAAUACCGGAUAAGCCCUUACGGGGAAAGAUUUAUCGCCGAAAGAUCGGCCCGCGUCUGAUUAGCUAGUUGGUGGGGUAAUGGCCCACCAAGGCGACGAUCAGUAGCUGGUCUGAGAGGAUGAUCAGCCACAUUGGGACUGAGACACGGCCCAAACUCCUACGGGAGGCAGCAGUGGGGAAUAUUGGACAAUGGGCGCAAGCCUGAUCCAGCCAUGCCGCGUGAGUGAUGAAGGCCCUAGGGUUGUAAAGCUCUUUUGUGCGGGAAGAUAAUGACGGUACCGCAAGAAUAAGCCCCGGCUAACUUCGUGCCAGCAGCCGCGGUAAUACGAAGGGGGCUAGCGUUGCUC
RNAcentral lists this ribosomal RNA (476 nucleotides) under Bradyrhizobium sp. Its description in RNAcentral is "bacterial SSU rRNA". It matches the Rfam family "Bacterial small subunit ribosomal RNA", at positions 26 to 546 of the family's 1533-position model. Lineage: Bacteria; Pseudomonadati; Pseudomonadota; Alphaproteobacteria; Hyphomicrobiales; Nitrobacteraceae. The record is from RNAcentral.